AUGAUUUUUAAGACAGAAAUAAAAAGAGAAAGAGAGAGAGAGACAGAAAAGGAAUGAAAAAGAAAAGAGCGAAGAAGACGGGGAGCAAUGCUCACUGUCCUGUUCCGGAAAAAGCUACAGGCAGGGGGCAAUAUGAAUGACGAGAAUUUUCCCAAGAAGAACCAGUGUUGAGGUUUUCCUCGUUUCUGCUGCAACACCUGAAGAGAACGACCCAGGCUGGUGGGGAGAAUUUGUAAAAUGGAUGGUCUU
RNAcentral lists this long non-coding RNA (249 nucleotides) under Astyanax mexicanus (Mexican tetra). Its description in RNAcentral is "lncRNA (ENSAMXG00005023778.1)". Lineage: Eukaryota; Metazoa; Chordata; Actinopteri; Characiformes; Acestrorhamphidae. The record is from RNAcentral.